RNAcentral lists this small nucleolar RNA (80 nucleotides) under Nelumbo nucifera (sacred lotus). Its description in RNAcentral is "Small nucleolar RNA R160". It matches the Rfam family "Small nucleolar RNA R160". Rfam says of the family: snoR160 is a C/D box small nucleolar RNA, which acts as a methylation guide for 25S ribosomal RNA in plants. snoR160 has been alternatively named snoZ270 in rice. Lineage: Eukaryota; Viridiplantae; Streptophyta; Magnoliopsida; Proteales; Nelumbonaceae. The record is from Rfam by way of RNAcentral.
AGCAAAAUGAUGAGCUAACUUAUCUGAGCUAUUAGUGCUGAAGCAUUUAACGUAAUUGCCUUAAAAGUUUUCCGAUUGCU